RNAcentral lists this ribosomal RNA (492 nucleotides) under uncultured bacterium. RNAcentral describes it as "partial 16S ribosomal RNA". It matches the Rfam family "Bacterial small subunit ribosomal RNA", at positions 29 to 507 of the family's 1533-position model. The record is from RNAcentral.
AGUGAACGCUGGCGGUAGGCCUAACACAUGCAAGUCGAACGGCAGCACAGUAAGAGCUUGCUCUUACGGGUGGCGAGUGGCGGACGGGUGAGGAAUACAUCGGAAUCUACUUUUUCGUGGGGGAUAACGUAGGGAAACUUACGCUAAUACCGCAUACGACCUACGGGUGAAAGCAGGGGAUCUUCGGACCUUGCGCGAUUGAAUGAGCCGAUGUCGGAUCAGCUAGUUGGCGGGGUAAAGGCCCACCAAGGCGACGAUCCGUAGCUGGUCUGAGAGGAUGAUCAGCCACACUGGAACUGAGACACGGUCCAGACUCCUACGGGAGGCAGCAGUGGGGAAUAUUGGACAAUGGGCGCAAGCCUGAUCCAGCCAUACCGCGUGGGUGAAGAAGGCCUUCGGGUUGUAAAGCCCUUUUGUUGGGAAAAAAAAGCAGCAGGUUAAUACCCCGCUGUUCUGACGGUACCCAAAGAAUAAGCACCGGCUAACUUCGUG